Molecule: long non-coding RNA, 520 nt
Organism: Vespula pensylvanica (western yellowjacket)
Lineage: Eukaryota; Metazoa; Arthropoda; Insecta; Hymenoptera; Vespidae
Exons: 3
Source: RefSeq, a predicted model, not a curated record
UUACACACAUUUCGAGUGCUAUAUAUAAAGUCAAUAUUUCUUCAAAUAUCUUUUAUUCCUCGAGCAUUAUUCAAACUAGUUCCAAUAAUAAUCCAGUCUUUCUAAAGAAAUCUGUUUAACUAGUGCGUUAUUGAAAAAUCGCAAUAGAAGCGAGUAAUAGAUAAUAAUGUUUCACACCAUGGACCGAUUAAAUGUUAUUGCAUUUUUAUUUUUGUCGUACUACUUCCAAGAAGAUAUGGAGAAAGUGCAGAAUAUCUUCAAUUGAAUUCGAAGAUCAAAACCAUGUCCAAUAAAAGGAAAUACGCUUCAUCUUUUAAUUGACAAUUAACAUCUACUUGAACAACUUUGGAAAACGAAUGAAAAGCAAUCCGUAAAAUAUAGUCUAUCUUUUAUCCAUUAUUAAUUCCAUUUCAUCCGGUAAAUGAAGAAAGAAGUGAUGAUAAGACAAGAACAAAGUAAAUUUUUUUCUUUACUCUAAAUAUAAACUACUAUAGAUAUAAACUUAUCGUGAAAUGGUUUA